This 702-nucleotide ribosomal RNA is filed under the name uncultured Sphingopyxis sp. RNAcentral's name for it is "bacterial SSU rRNA". It matches the Rfam family "Bacterial small subunit ribosomal RNA", at positions 28 to 776 of the family's 1533-position model. The record is from RNAcentral. Lineage: Bacteria; Pseudomonadati; Pseudomonadota; Alphaproteobacteria; Sphingomonadales; Sphingopyxidaceae.
AACGAACGCUGGCGGCAUGCCUAACACAUGCAAGUCGAACGAGACCUUCGGGUCUAGUGGCGCACGGGUGCGUAACGCGUGGGAAUCUGCCCUUGGGUGCGGAAUAACUUCCCGAAAGGGAUGCUAAUACUGCAUAAUGUCGCAAGACCAAAGAUUUAUCGCCCAAGGAUGAGCCCGCGUAGGAUUAGCUAGUUGGUGGGGUAAAAGCCUACCAAGGCGACGAUCCUUAGCUGGUCUGAGAGGAUGAUCAGCCACACUGGGACUGAGACACGGCCCAGACUCCUACGGGAGGCAGCAGUGGGGAAUAUUGGACAAUGGGCGAAAGCCUGAUCCAGCAAUGCCGCGUGAGUGAUGAAGGCCUUAGGGUUGUAAAGCUCUUUUACCCGGGAUGAUAAUGACAGUACCGGGAGAAUAAGCUCCGGCUAACUCCGUGCCAGCAGCCGCGGUAAUACGGAGGGAGCUAGCGUUGUUCGGAAUUACUGGGCGUAAAGCGCGCGUAGGCGGUUUUUUAAGUCAGAGGUGAAAGCCCGGGGCUCAACCCCGGAAUUGCCUUUGAAACUGGAAAACUUGAAUCUUGGAGAGGUCAGUGGAAUUCCGAGUGUAGAGGUGAAAUUCGUAGAUAUUCGGAAGAACACCAGUGGCGAAGGCGACUGACUGGACAAGUAUUGACGCUGAGGUGCGAAAGCGUGGGGAGCAAACAGG